UGGUGGAGGUCAGGAUUAUAAUGGCGGGAAACUCACUGCUAUAGGAUUUUCCUUAUGAUGACUUGUCGUGAGCGUCUACUAGUGACAUUAAAAUCAAUUACCCCGGGAAUGGAAGUCUUUGAUAGAGAAUCUUGAUCAGAAACAACGGGACGCAGUAGAGAGCUUGGAACAAAAUGGGUGUUCAAUCAAGGAAACUAAAAAAGCUAUUUCCAUCUUUGAACAAAGCAAAGGCCCCGGGAGGUUUUGUGGAACAGACUUGAUGAAGAUAAUUUUAAACGAAAGGGACAAAGAACAUGAGAGUGAAAGUGAUGGAGAAAAAAAGAGCAGCUUGGAGGACGAGACUUCCAAAGAGGACAAGGAGAAUAGUGGUGCUUACGUCUCUAAUGAGGGGCGAUCCUCCAACAACAUACAGACAAAGAAAUGCGACGUUUGCUACAAAUCUACAAGGCCGACCUUAGUUACUAUCAUGUGUGCUGGCUGUAAAGGUUCAUUCAUUGCGAAACGGAAACGACAUUUUAGUGCUAAUUUUUAGUAACAAUAUUCUCAAUAUUCAAUGUUUUCAUUGCUGUGCGAAGUUAAAUGUAUUUGAUCAAACUGUUUUUAACGAAAAGAAAAUUUGGCAGGAGAAAAAAUCCAACAAAUAAUAGUUGCUGUUGUAAGGUAGACACAUAGUAAUCUUAAAAUAACAUGUAAAACGUACGAAUAAGACUUUUAUGCUCGGAUCAUUCUUUAUUCAGGGGAACGAGAACGCGAAGACUUAAAGGUUUAUAGACAGUAAACAGUAUACAAAAUGUUUGUGUGACAGAACACUCCCAUGCUAGAUCUAAGUAAGGUGACAUAACAACUCCCAGAUAGAUCUUAGUAAUGUAUAAGAAUCGAAUACAUAUUUGGAAUUUCGUCAAGAGUCAAUCAGUAGAUUUAACUUUUGAAAUUUAAUUUGAUUUAACCAUAAACCAGGUUAAAACAGUUUUACCAACUUCUUUUAAAAUACUAUUCCUGUCAUUGAACAACAGAUAGAUAUCAAGGUAAAAUAGGGCCUCCUAAGUUUAGAGCAAAACUGUAAAUUUACAUAAUUCAGCAUUAUGCACGUUCUGGCAUGCUCUUGUUAAGUAUUUACCUCCAUACGCUGUACGUAUGCUGUUUAUGAGAGAGAAAGGAACGUAAGUUCUGAUAUCGAAAAGUCCGUAUUGGGGAAUUUUCAACGUUUGCAUUACAACGAAGCUUUUUAAUUUACAGGAGAAAGAUCAUGAAGAACAUUAUGAUGUUAAAAGAUGAGUUACUGCUGGUUUUAGGCUUUUUUCAGCUUAGGAAGAUCACAAAAAGUGACAAAUAUCUUUCAGCAGAAUAAAAAAAUAAAUAGUUUUUGAACAAUAUCACCAGUGAUAUCGAAUUCACGAACAAUGCCUUCAUUUGUGGUAGGACAACUUUCACUUUUCCACUCAUAGUCAGAUAUAUUAUUAAAGAUGGCAUCAAGAAAUGCUUAAUAAUAAUCUCAAUCGCCUGAAAGCAUCAGAAACACAUCUUCAAUGUUUUGCGCUGAAUGGAAAGACAUCUUGAAUACAGAACAGUAUGUAAUUGUAUAUCGAUAUUGAAUUCUUACAUUACUAAAACGUGUCUUGUGUCGUUGCCUUAAUUUGUAUUUGUUAUAUCCUACUAUAAUAAUAUGGUCACUUAAAUAUAUCAUAUUCGAGAUGAAUUUAAAAAACUAUAUAAAUUACAAUGUAUUCGCUGUUGAACUCUAUAUUAGCGAGGUCUGAUUUUGUUAAAACUAAAUGUUGUUUCAUAUGUAUCGCGAGUUCACUUUGUUCACGUUAGUUCGUGAGAUGAUUGGACUGCAAGAUCAAAUAACUAGGAUAGAUCGCUAAACUUCAUUCAAACUGCGGUGAGAUGUCUGUAAAUGUCCCCUGUUGCGAAUUUAAGUUCAGAAAUCACGUCUGCUGAAAACAGCAUUCAUGGUAUUUAUUAAUGUUAAUAUAUGAGAAAAGAGUGAUUGAACAUGUUGAUUUGUAUAUAUUCAGAUAUAUUGUUUUAGAUAAAAAAAAAUGUCAAUCUCCAAAGAAAAUUCCAACAUUUGUCGGUUAUGUCAAUUAAAAAGGACUUGUUUAAAGUACGUUUUAUGCUGCCUGUAACUGUUUACAAUUUGUGAAACUAUUCAAGUACUAUUGUCAAAACCGUCUUACAUUACACGGUUUCACAUUACAAUCCGUCGUAUGUCGUGUUUUAUAUAAAAAAAUAUAUAUAUAUAGUGGUUUAUAGGAGACUUACCUCGAGAUGGCGCAUCUAAUCAAGUACUGUAUAAAGGAAUGGUUACCGUUUUGGCAAAAUGUAUUAAAGCAACAGUUCUAUAUACAUAAUAUAUACGCAGUAGCAGUUUUAUA
Molecule: long non-coding RNA, 2378 nt
Organism: Mizuhopecten yessoensis (Yesso scallop)
Lineage: Eukaryota; Metazoa; Mollusca; Bivalvia; Pectinida; Pectinidae
Exons: 4
Source: RefSeq, a predicted model, not a curated record